Molecule: ribosomal RNA, 468 nt
Filed under: uncultured bacterium
Lineage: Bacteria
Description: partial 16S ribosomal RNA
Rfam family: Bacterial small subunit ribosomal RNA
Source: RNAcentral
GACGAACGCUGGCGGCGUGCUUAACACAUGCAAGUCGAACGGAAAGGCCCUGCUUUUGUGGGGGGCUCGAGUGGCGAACGGGUGAGUAACACGGGGGUAGCCUGCCCUUGGCUUUGGGAUAACUUCAAGGAACUGGGGCUAAUACCGGAUAGGUGCUCCUGCUGCAUGGUGGGGGUUGGAAAGUUUGGGCGGUUGGGGAUGGACUCGCGGCUUAUCAGCUUGUUUGUGGGGAAGUGGCUUACCAAGGCUUUGACGGGUAGCCGGCCUGAGAGGGUGACCGGCCACAUUGGGACUGAGAUACGGCCCAGACUCCUACGGGAGGCAGCAGUGGGGAAUAUUGCACAAUGGGCGGAAGCCUGAUGCAGCAACGCCGCGUGCGGGAUGACGGCCUUCGGGUUGUAAACCGCUUUCGCCUGUGACGAAGCGUGAGUGACGGUAAUGGGCAAAGAAGCACCGGCUAACUACGUG